This 1349-nucleotide ribosomal RNA is filed under the name Arthrobacter sp. RNAcentral describes it as "bacterial SSU rRNA". It matches the Rfam family "Bacterial small subunit ribosomal RNA", at positions 97 to 1454 of the family's 1533-position model. The record is from RNAcentral. Lineage: Bacteria; Bacillati; Actinomycetota; Actinomycetes; Micrococcales; Micrococcaceae.
GGCGAACGGGUGAGUAACACGUGAGUAACCUGCCCUUGACUCUGGGAUAAGCCUGGGAAACUGGGUCUAAUACCGGAUAUGACCUUCCAUCGCAUGGUGGUUGGUGGAAAGCUUUUGUGGUUUUGGAUGGACUCGCGGCCUAUCAGCUUGUUGGUGAGGUAAUGGCUUACCAAGGCGACGACGGGUAGCCGGCCUGAGAGGGUGACCGGCCACACUGGGACUGAGACACGGCCCAGACUCCUACGGGAGGCAGCAGUGGGGAAUAUUGCACAAUGGGCGCAAGCCUGAUGCAGCGACGCCGCGUGAGGAUGACGGCCUUCGGGUUGUAAACCUCUUUCAGUAGGGAAGAAGCGAGAGUGACGGUACCUGCAGAAGAAGCGCCGGCUAACUACGUGCCAGCAGCCGCGGUAAUACGUAGGGCGCAAGCGUUAUCCGGAAUUAUUGGGCGUAAAGAGCUCGUAGGCGGUUUGUCGCGUCUGCCGUGAAAGUCCGGGGCUCAACUCCGGAUCUGCGGUGGGUACGGGCAGACUAGAGUGAUGUAGGGGAGACUGGAAUUCCUGGUGUAGCGGUGAAAUGCGCAGAUAUCAGGAGGAACACCGAUGGCGAAGGCAGGUCUCUGGGCAUUAACUGACGCUGAGGAGCGAAAGCAUGGGGAGCGAACAGGAUUAGAUACCCUGGUAGUCCAUGCCGUAAACGUUGGGCACUAGGUGUGGGGGACAUUCCACGUUUUCCGCGCCGUAGCUAACGCAUUAAGUGCCCCGCCUGGGGAGUACGGCCGCAAGGCUAAAACUCAAAGGAAUUGACGGGGGCCCGCACAAGCGGCGGAGCAUGCGGAUUAAUUCGAUGCAACGCGAAGAACCUUACCAAGGCUUGACAUGAACCGGACCGCCGCAGAAAUGUGGUUUCCCCUUUGGGGCUGGUUUACAGGUGGUGCAUGGUUGUCGUCAGCUCGUGUCGUGAGAUGUUGGGUUAAGUCCCGCAACGAGCGCAACCCUCGUUCUAUGUUGCCAGCACGUGAUGGUGGGGACUCAUAGGAGACUGCCGGGGUCAACUCGGAGGAAGGUGGGGACGACGUCAAAUCAUCAUGCCCCUUAUGUCUUGGGCUUCACGCAUGCUACAAUGGCCGGUACAAAGGGUUGCGAUACUGUGAGGUGGAGCUAAUCCCAAAAAGCCGGUCUCAGUUCGGAUUGGGGUCUGCAACUCGACCCCAUGAAGUCGGAGUCGCUAGUAAUCGCAGAUCAGCAACGCUGCGGUGAAUACGUUCCCGGGCCUUGUACACACCGCCCGUCAAGUCACGAAAGUUGGUAACACCCGAAGCCGGUGGCCUAAUCCCUUAUGGGGAGGGAGCU